This 220-nucleotide long non-coding RNA is filed under the name Lathyrus oleraceus (garden pea). Its description in RNAcentral is "Pisum sativum (pea) long non-coding RNA (PSAT_LNC017391)". The record is from RNAcentral. Lineage: Eukaryota; Viridiplantae; Streptophyta; Magnoliopsida; Fabales; Fabaceae.
UUUGGGCUUCUUUUGAAGACUUGUUUGGGUUACUUUGGUUUCAGCUGAUACAUGGAUUAUUAUUUUCUUAUUUGGCUUGAUUGAGGCUUAAUCCAAAUGAGGGAAUUCUUGCUUGACUUAUGUCAUAAAGCUUAUUAUCUCUUGGUUAGAUAUUUCCUCCCUAGGUUUUACUUUAUGCUUUAGGAUAAUCUCUUCUUUUCCUCUCCUUCUUUAAUUUUCA